RNAcentral lists this ribosomal RNA (467 nucleotides) under uncultured bacterium. RNAcentral's name for it is "partial 16S ribosomal RNA". It matches the Rfam family "Bacterial small subunit ribosomal RNA", at positions 28 to 507 of the family's 1533-position model. The record is from RNAcentral.
GAUGAACGCUGGCGGCAUGCUUAACACAUGCAAGUCAACUUGAAUUUGGGUUUUUAACUUAGGUUUGGGUGGCGGACGGGUGAGUAACGCGUAAAGAACUUGCCUCACAGCUAGGGACAACAUUUGGAAACGAAUGCUAAUACCUAAUAUUAUGAUAAUAGGGCAUCCUAUAAUUAUGAAAGCUAUAAGCGCUGUGAGAGAGCUUUGCGUCCCAUUAGCUAGUUGGAGAGGUACCGGCUCACCAAGGCGAUGAUGGGUAGCCGGCCUGAGAGGGUGAUCGGCCACAAGGGGACUGAGACACGGCCAGUAGGCAUUCGGGAGGCAGGAGCGGGGAAUAUUGGACAAUGGACCGAGAGUGUGAUCCAGCAAUUCUGUGUGCAAGAUGAAGUUUUUCGGAAUGUAAAGUGCUUUCAGUUGGGAAGAAACAAAUGAUGGUACCAACAGAAGAAGUGACGGCUAACUACGUG